This 397-nucleotide ribosomal RNA is filed under the name uncultured bacterium. RNAcentral's name for it is "partial 16S ribosomal RNA". It matches the Rfam family "Bacterial small subunit ribosomal RNA", at positions 523 to 918 of the family's 1533-position model. The record is from RNAcentral.
AUACGUAGGGGGCGAGCGUUGUCCGGAAUGAUUGGGCGUAAAGGGCGCGUAGGCGGCCGCUUAAGUCUGGAGUGAAAGUCCUGUUUUCAAGAUGGGAAUUGCUUUGGAUACUGGGGGGCUUGAGUGCAGGAGAGGUUAUCGGAAUUCCCGGUGUAGCGGUGAAAUGCGUAGAGAUCGGGAGGAACACCAGUGGCGAAGGCGGGUAACUGGACUGCAACUGACGCUGAGGCGCGAAAGUGUGGGGAGCAAACAGGAUUAGAUACCCUGGUAGUCCACACGGUAAACGAUGAAUGCUAGGUGUAAGAGGUAUCGACCCCUUUUGUGCCGGAGUCAACACAAUAAGCAUUCCGCCUGGGGAGUACGGCCGCAAGGUUGAAACUCAAAUGAAUUGGCGGGG